Molecule: ribosomal RNA, 271 nt
Filed under: uncultured bacterium
Lineage: Bacteria
Description: partial 16S ribosomal RNA
Rfam family: Bacterial small subunit ribosomal RNA
Source: RNAcentral
UACGUAGGGGGCGAGCGUUGUCCGGAUUUAUUGGGCGUAAAGAGCUCGUAGGCCGUUCGGUAAGUCAGAUGUGAAAACUCCAGGCUCAACUUGGAGAGGCCAUCUGAUACUGCCGUGACUUGAGUCCGGUAGGGGAGCACGGAAUUCCUGGUGUAGCGGUGAAAUGCGUUGAUAUCAGGAGGAACUCCAAUGGCGAAGGCAGGUUACUGGGCCUUAUCUGACGCUGAGGCGCGAAAGCGUGGGUAGCAAACAGGAUUAGAUACCCGAGUAG